RNAcentral lists this ribosomal RNA (510 nucleotides) under uncultured bacterium. RNAcentral's name for it is "partial 16S ribosomal RNA". It matches the Rfam family "Bacterial small subunit ribosomal RNA", at positions 28 to 507 of the family's 1533-position model. The record is from RNAcentral.
GACGAACGCUGGCGGCGUGCUUAACACAUGCAAGUCGAACGAAGAGCGAUGGAAGCUUGCUUCUAUCAAUCUUAGUGGCGAACGGGUGAGUAACGCGUAAUCAACCUGCCCUUCAGAGGGGGACAACAGUUGGAAACGACUGCUAAUACCGCAUACGAUCUAAACUCGGCAUCGAGGAUAGAUGAAAGGUGGCCUCUACAUGUAAGCUAUCACUGAAGGAGGGGAGUGCGUCUGAUUAGCUAGUUGGAGGGGUAACGGCCCACCAAGGCGAUGAUCAGUAGCCGGUCUGAGAGGAUGAACGGCCACAUUGGGACUGGGACACGGCCCAGACUCCUACGGGAGGCAGCAGUGGGGAAUCUUCCGCAAUGGACGAAAGUCUGACGGAGCAACGCCGCGUGAGUGAUGACGGCCUUCGGGUUGUAAAGCUCUGUUAAUCGGGACGAAAGGCCUUCUUGCGAAUAGUGAGAAGGAUUGACGGUACCGGAAUAGAAAGCCACGGCUAACUACGUG